Molecule: ribosomal RNA, 253 nt
Filed under: uncultured bacterium
Lineage: Bacteria
Description: partial 16S ribosomal RNA
Rfam family: Bacterial small subunit ribosomal RNA
Source: RNAcentral
UACAGAGGGGGCCAGCGUUGUUCUGAAUUACUGGGCGUAAAGGGCGCGUAGGCGGCCCGCUAAGUCGAACGUGAAAUCCCCGAGCUCAACUCGGGAACUGCGUCCGAUACUGGUGGGCUUGAAUCCGGGAGAGGGAUGCGGAAUUCCAGGUGUAGCGGUGAAAUGCGUAGAUAUCUGGAGGAACACCGGUGGCGAAGGCGGCAUCCUGGACCGGCAUUGACGCUGAGGCGCGAAAGCUAGGGGAGCAAACGGG